Molecule: transfer RNA, 87 nt
Filed under: Candidatus Moraniibacteriota bacterium
Lineage: Bacteria; Candidatus Moraniibacteriota
Description: tRNA-Ser
Rfam family: tRNA
About the family: Transfer RNA (tRNA) molecules are approximately 80 nucleotides in length.
Source: RNAcentral
GGAGAGAUGGCCGAGUGGUCUAAGGCACCUCACUGCUAACGAGACAGGGGAUAAAACCCCUCGAGGGUUCGAAUCCCUCUCUCUCCG